RNAcentral lists this ribosomal RNA (2353 nucleotides) under Ctenophora environmental sample. RNAcentral describes it as "partial Bacterial large subunit ribosomal RNA". It matches the Rfam family "Bacterial large subunit ribosomal RNA", at positions 77 to 2316 of the family's 2925-position model. The record is from RNAcentral. Lineage: Eukaryota; Metazoa; Ctenophora.
UUCGGGGAGUUGCUAAACAAACUGUGAUCCGGAGAUUUCUGAAUGGGGGAACCCGUCUUGAGUAAUGUUGAGACAUUUAUAACUGAAUACAUAGGUUAUAAAGGCAAACGAGGGGAACUGAAACAUCUUAGUACCCUCAGGAAAAGAAAACAAUAGUGAUUUUCAAAGUAGCGGCGAGCGAAAUGAAAAUAGCCCAAACCCAAUAUGUGUAAGCCCGAAAGCGUUGUAUAUUGGGGGUCGUGGGGUUUGAUGUUGCAUAGUUUCGGAUAUGCAAAAAGAGUUACAAAGUUGAUUUAUAACCGAAAAGUCUGGAAAGACUUACCAUAGAAUGUGAUAGUCAUUUAGGUGAAAUGAAUCAGCCUCUUUAUCAAAUUCCCAAGUAUUGCGGGACACGAGAAAUCCUGUGAGAAUUUGUGAGGACCAUCUCAUAAGGCUAAAUACUACCUGAUAACCGAUAGUGAACUAGUACCGUGAGGGAAAGGUGAAAAGAACCCCUGUUAGGGGAGUGAAAUAGUACUUGAAACCGUUUGCUUACAAGCAGUGGGAGCUGGACAAUUUUUUGAGAGUCUAGUGACUGCAUGCCUUUUGCAUAAUGAGUCAGCGAGUUACUUUGUGUAGCGAGGUUAAGCCAUAGGGUGUAGCCGGAGCGAAAGCGAGUCUUAAUAGGGCGUAUUAGUUGCACGAAGUAGACCCGAAACCAAGUGAGCUAUUCAUGGCCAGGGUGAAGCGUAAGUAAAAUUGCGUGGAGGCCCGAACCGUUGUAGGUUGAAAACUGCUCGGAUGAGCUGUGAAUAGGGGUGAAAGGCCAAACAAACUUGGAAAUAGCUGGUUCUCCUCGAAAUAUAUUUAGGUAUAGCCUUGCAAAAUUAGUAACGGGGGUAGAGCACUGAAUGGGCUAGGGGUCCUACCAGAUUACCAAACCUAAUCAAACUCCGAAUACCGUUAACUAUAAUUGCAGGAGUCAGACUACGGGAGCUAAGUUUCGUGGUCGAGAGGGAAACAACCCAGACCGUCAGCUAAGGUCCCCAAAUAUGUGCUAAGUGGGAAAGGAAGUGGAAAUGCUCAGACAGCCAGGAGGUUGGCUUAGAAGCAGUCAUCCUUUAAAGAAAGCGUAACAGCUCACUGGUCGAGUGGGUUUGCACCGAAAAUGUAACGGGGCUAAAGCACAUUACCGAAGCUGCGGGUAUCAAAAAAUAUUUAUUUUUUGGUACGGUAGAGGAGCAUUCUGUUAAGGCUGAAGGUUAUUCGUAAGGAUAGCUGGACAUAACAGAAGAGACCAUGCUGACAUGAGUAACGAUAAAGCGGGUAAGAAACCCGCUCGCCGUAAACCUAAGGUUUCCUUGAGUAAAGCUAAUCUGCUCAGGGUUAGUCGAUCCCUAAGCCGAGGCCGAAAGGCGUAGGCGAUGGAAAACAGGUUAAUAUUCCUGUACCACCAUCUUAUCAUUAUAAAGCGAUGGGGUGACACAGGAGGGUAGGUCAUCCGUCUGUUGGAAUAGACGGUUUAAGCCCGUAGGCGGAAAGAACAGGUAAAACUGUUCUUUUUUUAACGCUGAGAGGUGAUGAGGAGUCUUUUUUAAUAAAAGACAUAACUGACUAAUCCCAUGCUGUCGAGAAAAGCCUCUAGUGAGAUAAGAAGGUGAUCGUACCGCAAACCAACACAGGUAGGUAAGGAGAGAAUCCUAAGGCGCUUGAGAGAACCCUGGUUAAGGAACUCGGCAAAAUGAUACCGUAACUUCGGGAGAAGGUAUGCCCACAUUAGGUGAAACAAAUUUUUUUAAAAAUUAUCUUGUGGAGCUGAAGUGGGUCGCAGAGAAAUGGCGGUAGCGACUGUUUACUAAAAACACAGGACUCUGCUAAGUUGUAAGACAAUGUAUAGGGUCUGACGCCUGCCCGGUGCCGGAAGGUUAAGGGGAUGUGUUAGUGGUACUUUUGUACUACGAAGCAUUGAACUGAAGCCCUGGUAAACGGCGGCCGUAACUAUAACGGUCCUAAGGUAGCGAAAUUCCUUGUCGGGUAAGUUCCGACCUGCACGAAUGGCGUAACGACUUCCGCACUGUCUCAACCAGGGACUCAGUGAAAUUGUAUUGGCGGUGAAGAUGCCGUCUACCCGCGAAAAGACGGAAAGACCCCGGCACCUUUACUACAGCUUGACAUUGGAUUUUGGAAUACUAUGUGUAGGAUAGGUGGGAGGCUAUGAAACCGAAACGUUAGUUUCGGUGGAGCCAGCCUUGAAAUACCACCCUUACUAUUUUAGGGUUCUAAUUUUGUUCCGUAAUCCGGGCAAAAGACAGUGUUUGGUGGGUAGUUUGACUGGGGCGGUCGCCUCCCAAAGAGUAACGGAGGCGCGCGAAGG